Molecule: ribosomal RNA, 253 nt
Filed under: uncultured bacterium
Lineage: Bacteria
Description: partial 16S ribosomal RNA
Rfam family: Bacterial small subunit ribosomal RNA
Source: RNAcentral
UACGUAGGGUGCAAGCGUUGUCCGGAAUUAUUGGGCGUAAAGAGCUCGUAGGCGGUCUGUCGCGUCGGCUGUGAAAACCCGGGGCUCAACCCCGGGCCUGCAGUCGAUACGGGCAGACUAGAGUGUGGUAGGGGAGACUGGAAUUCCUGGUGUAGCGGUGAAAUGCGCAGAUAUCAGGAGGAACACCGGUGGCGAAGGCGGCUCUCUAGUACGGUACUGACGCUGAGACGCGAAAGCGUGGGGAGCGAACAGG